CGGGAAAAGCUCAAAUUUAAAAUCUGGUGGCCUUUGGCCAUCCGAGUUGUAAUUUGUAGAGGAUGCUUUUGGUGCGGUGCCUUCCGAGUUCCCUGGAACGGGACGCCUUAGAGGGUGAGAGCCCCGUACGGUUGGACGCCUAGCCUCUGUAAAGCUCCUUCGAC
RNAcentral lists this ribosomal RNA (164 nucleotides) under Pezizomycotina sp. Its description in RNAcentral is "partial large subunit ribosomal RNA". It matches the Rfam family "Eukaryotic large subunit ribosomal RNA", at positions 99 to 261 of the family's 3401-position model. Lineage: Eukaryota; Fungi; Ascomycota. The record is from RNAcentral.